AGCGAACGCUGGCGGCAGGCUUAACACAUGCAAGUCGAACGCCCCGCAAGGGGAGUGGCAGACGGGUGAGUAACACGUGGGAACGUACCCUUUGGUUCGGAAUAACUUGGGGAAACUCAAGCUAAUACCGGAUAAGCCCUUAUGGGGAAAGGUUUACUGCCGAAGGAUCGGCCCGCGUCUGAUUAGCUAGUUGGUGAGGUAAUGGCUCACCAAGGCGACGAUCAGUAGCUGGUCUGAGAGGAUGAUCAGCCACACUGGGACUGGGACACGGCCCAGACUGCUACGGGAGGCAGCAGUGGGGAAUAUUGGACAAUGGGGGCAACCCUGAGCCAGCCAUGCCGCGUGAGUGAUGAAGGCCUUAGGGUUGUAAAGCUCUUUUACCCGGGACGAUAAUGACUGUACCGGGAGAAUAAGCCCCGGCUAACUUCGUGCCAGCCGCCGCCGUAA
This 447-nucleotide ribosomal RNA is filed under the name uncultured bacterium. RNAcentral's name for it is "partial 16S ribosomal RNA". It matches the Rfam family "Bacterial small subunit ribosomal RNA", at positions 29 to 523 of the family's 1533-position model. The record is from RNAcentral.